AGAGUUUGAUCCUGGCUCAGGACGAACGCUGGCGGCGUGCCUAAUACAUGCAAGUCGAGCGGACCCUUCGGGGUUAGCGGCGGACGGGUGAGUAACACGUAGGCAACCUGCCUGUAAGACUGGGAUAACCUUCGGAAACGGAUGCUAAUACCAGAUACACGGUUUCUCCGCAUGGAGAGAUCGGGAAAGACGGAGCAAUC
Molecule: ribosomal RNA, 200 nt
Filed under: uncultured bacterium
Lineage: Bacteria
Description: partial 16S ribosomal RNA
Rfam family: Bacterial small subunit ribosomal RNA
Source: RNAcentral